Molecule: ribosomal RNA, 182 nt
Filed under: Aureonarius infucatus
Lineage: Eukaryota; Fungi; Basidiomycota; Agaricomycetes; Agaricales; Cortinariaceae
Description: Cortinarius infucatus partial 28S ribosomal RNA
Rfam family: Eukaryotic large subunit ribosomal RNA
Source: RNAcentral
UGUGACCUCAAAUCAGGUAGGACUACCCGCUGAACUUAAGCAUAUCAAUAAGCGGAGGAAAAGAAACUAACAAGGAUUCCCCUAGUAACUGCGAGUGAAGCGGGAAAAGCUCAAAUUUAAAAUCUGGCAGUCCUUUAACUGCCCGAGUUGUAAUCUAGAGAAGUGUUAUCUGCGCUGGACCG